CAAUCCUCAAGCUCUGCUUGGUAUUGGGUGCCACCUGACACGGUGCAUCUUAAAAUCAGUGGCGGUGCCAUGCGGCUUCCAAGUGUAGUAAUAUUUCUUGCUUGGGAAGUUUGGAUGUGUGCUUGACAACAACCCUCUAAUCUAUCAAAA
RNAcentral lists this unclassified non-coding RNA (150 nucleotides) under uncultured Helotiales. RNAcentral's name for it is "sequence contains ITS2". The record is from RNAcentral. Lineage: Eukaryota; Fungi; Ascomycota; Leotiomycetes; Helotiales.